Molecule: ribosomal RNA, 428 nt
Filed under: Bacteroidota bacterium
Lineage: Bacteria; Pseudomonadati; Bacteroidota
Description: Bacteroidetes bacterium partial 16S ribosomal RNA
Rfam family: Bacterial small subunit ribosomal RNA
Source: RNAcentral
UAGGGAAUCUUCCGCAAUGGACGCAAGUCUGACGGAGCAACGCCGCGUGAGUGAAGAAGGAUUUCGGUUCGUAAAACUCUGUUGUUAGAGAAGAACAGCGCAUAGAGUAACUGUUAUGCGUGUGACGGUAUCUAACCAGAAAGCCACGGCUAACUACGUGCCAGCAGCCGCGGUAAUACGUAGGUGGCAAGCGUUGUCCGGAUUUAUUGGGCGUAAAGCGAGCGCAGGCGGUUAGGUAAGUCUGAAGUUAAAGGCAGUGGCUCAACCAUUGUAGGCUUUGGAAACUGUUUAACUUGAGUGCAGAAGGGGAGAGUGGAAUUCCAUGUGUAGCGGUGAAAUGCGUAGAUAUAUGGAGGAACACCGGUGGCGAAAGCGGCUCUCUGGUCUGUAACUGACGCUGAGGCUCGAAAGCGUGGGGAGCGAACAGG